This 2891-nucleotide ribosomal RNA is filed under the name Stenotrophomonas maltophilia. Its description in RNAcentral is "23S ribosomal RNA". It matches the Rfam family "Bacterial large subunit ribosomal RNA". The record is from RNAcentral. Lineage: Bacteria; Pseudomonadati; Pseudomonadota; Gammaproteobacteria; Lysobacterales; Lysobacteraceae.
GUUAUAUGGUCAAGCGAAUAAGCGCACACGGUGGAUGCCUUGGCGGUCAGAGGCGAUGAAGGACGUGGCAGCCUGCGAAAAGUAUCGGGGAGCUGGCAACAAGCUUUGAUCCGGUAAUGUCCGAAUGGGGAAACCCACCCGCUUGCGGGUAUCCUGCAGUGAAUACAUAGCUGCUGGAAGCGAACCUGGUGAACUGAAAUAUCUAAGUAACCAGAGGAAAAGAAAUCAACCGAGAUUCCGUAAGUAGCGACGAGCGAACGCGGACUAGCCCUUAAGCUGGAUUGGUUCUAGGAAAACGCUCUGGAAAGAGCGGCCAUAGAAGGUGAUAGCCCUGUAUCUGAAAGGGCCAUUCCAGUGAAGACGAGUAGGGCGGGGCACGUGAAACCCUGUCUGAACAUGGGGGACCAUCCUCCAAGGCUAAAUACUACUGACCGACCGAUAGUGAACCAGUACCGUGAGGGAAAGGCGAAAAGAACCCCGGAGAGGGGAGUGAAAUAGAACCUGAAACCGUGUGCGUACAAGCAGUAGGAGCUCCGCAAGGAGUGACUGCGUACCUUUUGUAUAAUGGGUCAGCGACUUACUGUUCGUGGCAAGCUUAACCGUAUAGGGGAGGCGAAGGGAAACCGAGUCUGAUAAGGGCGCAUAGUCGCGGGCAGUAGACCCGAAACCGGGUGAUCUAGUCAUGCCCAGGGUGAAGGUGCGGUAACACGCACUGGAGGCCCGAACCCACUCCCGUUGCAAAGGUAGGGGAUGAGGUGUGAUUAGGAGUGAAAAGCUAAUCGAACCCGGAGAUAGCUGGUUCUCCUCGAAAGCUAUUUAGGUAGCGCCUCAUAUGUAUCCUCUCGGGGGUAGAGCACUGUUAUGGCUAGGGGGUCAUCGCGACUUACCAAACCAUUGCAAACUCCGAAUACCGAGACGGACUGUAUGGGAGACACACGGCGGGUGCUAACGUCCGUCGUGAAAAGGGAAACAACCCAGACCCACAGCUAAGGUCCCAAAUUCACUGCUAAGUGGAAAACCAUGUGGAAAGGCACAGACAGCCAGGAGGUUGGCUUAGAAGCAGCCACCCUUUAAAGAAAGCGUAAUAGCUCACUGGUCGAGUCGGUCUGCGGGGAAGAUUUAACGGGGCUAAGCAGUGAACCGAAGCUUGGGGUGCAUACUUUGUAUGCGCGGUAGAGGAGCGUUCCGUAAGCCGUUGAAGGUGGAUUGAGAAGUCUGCUGGAGGUAUCGGAAGUGCGAAUGCUGACAUGAGUAACGAUAAUGCGGGUGAAAAACCCGCACGCCGAAAGCCCAAGGUUUCCUUGCGCAACGUUAAUCGGCGCAGGGUGAGUCGGCCCCUAAGGCGAGGACGAAAGUCGUAGUCGAUGGGAAGCAGGUUAAUAUUCCUGCACCUCGCGUAAGUGCGAUGGAGGGACGGAGAAGGUUAGGUGUACCAGGCGUUGGUUGUCCUGGGGAAAGGCGGUAGGUUUGGAUCUUUGGCAAAUCCGGGAUCCUUUAAGACCGAGCACCGAGACGAGCCUUUAUGGCGAAGUCACUGAUACCACGCUUCCAGGAAAAGCUCCUAAGCUUCAGCUUACGCAGACCGUACCGUAAACCGACACAGGUGGGUAGGAUGAGAAUUCUCAGGCGCUUGAGAGAACUCGGGUGAAGGAACUAGGCAACAUGGCACCGUAACUUCGGGAGAAGGUGCACCCUUUUUGGUGGCUCGUGCGAGCUAUAGCUGAAGAGGGUCGCAGUAACCAGGCCGCUGCGACUGUUUAUCAAAAACACAGCACUCUGCAAACACGAAAGUGGACGUAUAGGGUGUGACGCCUGCCCGGUGCUGGAAGGUUAAUUGAUGGGGUCAGCCGCAAGGCGAAGCUCUUGAUCGAAGCCCCAGUAAACGGCGGCCGUAACUAUAACGGUCCUAAGGUAGCGAAAUUCCUUGUCGGGUAAGUUCCGACCUGCACGAAUGGCGUAACGACAGCGGCGCUGUCUCCACCCGAGACUCAGUGAAAUUGAAAUCGCUGUGAAGAUGCAGCGUUCCCGUGGCAAGACGGAAAGACCCCGUGAACCUUUACUAUAGCUUUACACUGAACGUUGAGUUCGUCUGUGUAGGAUAGGUGGGAGGCUAUGAAACUGUGGCGCUAGCUGCAGUGGAGCCAUCCUUGAAAUACCACCCUGUCGUGCUUGACGUUCUAACCUGGGCCCAUUAUCUGGGUCGGGGACCGUGUAUGGUGGGUAGUUUGACUGGGGCGGUCUCCUCCUAAAGAGUAACGGAGGAGCUCGAAGGUACGCUCAGCGCGGUCGGACAUCGCGCACUGUGUGCAAAGGCAUAAGCGUGCUUGACUGCAAGAUCGACGGAUCAAGCAGGUAGGAAACUAGGACUUAGUGAUCCGGUGGUUCUGUAUGGAAGGGCCAUCGCUCAACGGAUAAAAGGUACUCCGGGGAUAACAGGCUGAUACCGCCCAAGAGUUCAUAUCGACGGCGGUGUUUGGCACCUCGAUGUCGGCUCAUCACAUCCUGGGGCUGUAGUCGGUCCCAAGGGUAUGGCUGUUCGCCAUUUAAAGUGGUACGCGAGCUGGGUUCAGAACGUCGUGAGACAGUUCGGUCCCUAUCUGCCAUGGGCGUUGGAGAUUUGAGAGGGGCUGCUCCUAGUACGAGAGGACCGGAGUGGACGAACCUCUGGUGUUCCGGUUGUCACGCCAGUGGCAUUGCCGGGUAGCUAUGUUCGGAAGCGAUAACCGCUGAAAGCAUCUAAGCGGGAAGCGCGCCUCAAGAUGAGAUCUCCCGGGGCACAAGCCCCCUGAAGGAACCAUGUAGACUACGUGGUUGAUAGGUCAGGUGUGUAAGUACAGCAAUGUAUUGAGCUAACUGAUACUAAUGAUCCGUGCGGCUUGACCAUAUAACCU